This 253-nucleotide ribosomal RNA is filed under the name uncultured bacterium. RNAcentral describes it as "partial 16S ribosomal RNA". It matches the Rfam family "Bacterial small subunit ribosomal RNA", at positions 524 to 776 of the family's 1533-position model. The record is from RNAcentral.
UACGUAGGGUGCAAGCGUUAAUCGGAAUUACUGGGCGUAAAGCGUGCGCAGGCGGUUAUGUAAGACAGAUGUGAAAUGCCCGGGCUUAACCUGGGAACUGCAUUUGUGACUGCAUGGCUAGAGUUUGGCAGAGGGGGGUAGAAUUCCACGUGUAGCAGUGAAAUGCGCAGAUAUGUGGAGGAACACCAGUGGCGAAGGCGGCUCACUGGCCCGGUACUGACGCUGAGGUGCGAAAGCGUGGGGAGCAAACAGG